Molecule: RNA transcript, 1635 nt
Organism: Tachysurus vachellii
Lineage: Eukaryota; Metazoa; Chordata; Actinopteri; Siluriformes; Bagridae
Exons: 5
Source: RefSeq, a predicted model, not a curated record
CGGCGAGCAAAAUAAAUAAGGUCAUGUAUGAGUUGUAGUGAUACAGCUAGUCUAAACAUUAGCUAGCAGAGGUUUUAAAUAGAGCGGAGAGUAAAAUAAACACCUACUGACAAAGACAGACAGACACUAACAAAACCGGUUUCUCUGUUCCUAAUCCCUCCAUCUCCACUAUGGUGCGUCACAGUAAACUUCAGAAACAAGUGUUAUCUCUCUACCGAGAGUUCCUGCGUGCUGGACGGGACAAACCUGGGUUUUUACCCAGAAUACGGGAAGAAUUUCGCACAAAUGCCGCCAUCCAAAAGACAGAUGUGAUGCAUAUUGAUUAUUUGUGUCGACGAGCCCAGAGACAGUUGGAGCAACUUCGAGAUGUGAACACCAAACAACUGGGUUUCUUCAGCAAGACCAAGGAGGACAGCUGACUUAUAUAUAUAUAUAUAUAUUUAUGGACAGACAGGUUUCUUGAGGUGUCAGUAACAGUGUUCAAUCUUACAAUGAAAACAACGUUAAGCAAUUGUGUUUAUGUCUUUAUAUAAAGUUUAUCAGCUCUCAUUGUUGUAUAAAUUGCACACUUACUUUCUGCAGCCCAUUGGUUACAGGGUGUAUGUGGUGUUGGUAGUUAUAGACCCAUUAAUUGACCUGUUUUUUUUUAUAUCCUUUGUAAAGGAACUACGUUAAACCUUUUUAAUCCCGUAUGUAUGACCCACAUUAAAUACGAGUGUCAACAAAUCGACAGAAGUGUUAAACACGUGUUUUAAUGCACUGAAAGAGCUGAGCCAGUAGGGGGCGCUGGUGCGUGACACACGCCAUUAAAACUCAGCAACAGAGAAAGCAGUCCGUGUAAACAGGAAGUGAAGAAGGAGGCAGAAAAAUGGCAGACUCGAGAAAGAGCAGCAGUGAGAUGACAGACGCGCAGUUAAUGCAGCAGUUGGCUCUGCUUGGCUGGCUGAACAGUGACAGUGUGGAGUGUAAACAGUUCCUCACAGCUGUCACUGGCAUGCAGGUGGCUCGAGAAGUCCUUAAUAGAUUAUCAGGUCAAGGAAAAGUGGACGCUUACAGGAAUGAAUGCAUUCAGAGCGUGGCAGACUACGUAAGGAGGAACCCUAGAGCCUCGGAGCGAGAGCUGAACGCAGAGGUGGAGAAGAAUGUGCUUCUGUUUGCCUCUAGAGUGCAGGCUUUAGACUCUUCAUCUCUCCUCUGAAUGCACAGGGAGUGCUGAAAGCACUCUGCCUUCCGUCCUCACCCUGCCUUGUACAUUACAUCUGACAUUUUUACAUGAUUUUACUAAAUGUAUAUGAUUUUAUGUUUUUUUUUAGGUAGGAUUCCUACUUGAAAUGUGAAACACAAUUUCUUUAGGUUUUAUAAUAUAAUUGCUAAAUGUACACCAACAUUAAUAAAAUGAAAAAACUGUGGAUUUCUAAUGUUACUUAUCGAAUAAUAAUAAUAUCGAUAAUUCAUAUCGAAUCAGAUUUCCACAAUGUCUUUUACUUAAUUUAUUAAAGAUAUUUCUAUAUUAAUUUUUACUUUAUAUAGCUAACAUUAUGCAAACAUUAUGUAACUAAUUAUUACCUAGGACCUAGUAUGUGACAUAGGAUUUAAGCUUAAUAAGUUAAUAAAACGUUAUUUAAUAUACAGAAA